This 497-nucleotide ribosomal RNA is filed under the name uncultured bacterium. Its description in RNAcentral is "partial 16S ribosomal RNA". It matches the Rfam family "Bacterial small subunit ribosomal RNA", at positions 28 to 507 of the family's 1533-position model. The record is from RNAcentral.
GAUGAACGCUGGCGGCGUGCCUAAUACAUGCAAGUCGAGCGAACAGACGAGGAGCUUGCUCCUCUGACGUUAGCGGCGGACGGGUGAGUAACACGUGGAUAACCUACCUAUAAGACUGGGAUAAAUUCGGGAAACCGGAGCUAAUACCGGAUAAUAUAUUGAACCGCAUGGUUCAAUAGUGAAAGACGGUUUUGCUGUCACUUAUAGAUGGAUCCGCGCCGCAUUAGCUAGUUGGUAAGGUAACAGCUUACCAAGGCAACGAUGCGUAGCCGACCUGAGAGGGUGAUCGGCCACACUGGAACUGAGACACGGUCCAGACUCCUACGGGAGGCAGCAGUAGGGAAUCUUCCGCAAUGGGCGAAAGCCUGACGGAGCAACGCCGCGUGAGUGAUGAAGGUCUUCGGAUCGUAAAACUCUGUUAUUAGGGAAGAACAAAUGUGUAAGUAACUAUGCACGUCUUGACGGUACCUAAUCAGAAAGCCACGGCUAACUACGUA